AUUUCUUCACCUCGUUUGACGCCACAUGUUCCCCCUGGUUGCCGCGUCGUCCUCGUCUUCGGCUUGCAAGGGACUGGAUCUGGUGUGAUUGAUUCUUCCUCUCGCAAGGUAGAGGGACAAAAAUUGAAGAUCCAAAUGAGCGACUCAAAUUCAGGAUUUGAGUUACCAAUGUAGUGUCUACGACUGGCUGAUGGUUCAAGAGUUCGAAGAAAGUCAAGCAGAAGGGAAUACUACACAUGCCCACGCUGCUAUAUGCCAAGGUGCUAGAGGCCACAUAUUGGGCAGGAGUUGUGGUGUGCAAGUGCUAGAGGCUACAUAUUGCUGGAAGGUGCUCAAUUCACAUUAGGACAGCCCACCCCCAAGAAGAAAUUAAAACAGAGAUUAUUCACUUUGUGAAGAUCAAUAACAAUGAGGAGCAGGUGCCGGCAGCUGAGGCGUGUUUGUCUGGUACACACGAGCCAAUUUCUCCUGUUAGGGUGGACGACAUGUAUGACUUUACGUCUUUACCCCGCAUGUCGGUCCUUGGUUUGCUUGAUUUUUAAUGAGCGAUGUGAGAUUGAUAGCGGGUCACAUGUUUAUCAAUGUUAUUUUGGCAUCAUCAAAUUACUUACCUGCCAGUUCUUCUGUCGCAACUCUCUAUCUUUUUGUUUAUACAUUUAGAAAUCUUGUCUUAGGUUACAACAACUAUUAAAGUAGUUGUAUCUUGGCCUCUUGCACUUUACCCGCGUUCAGUCUUCUCAUGUUUGAUUUUUAUGCUUCUAUUUUUUUGGCUGACGAGAGCUUUCAUGGCUGCUUAUGUCAUGUGAGUAAGCCCAUGCCAAAUGUUAAAAAGUAAAUAGGAAUUGAGCUACAAAUUCUUAGAGGAAAUCAGAUAGCUCCAUUUGGAAGGAAAACUGAAAAACACAACUUCCAGUUGGCUUUGAUAGAAUAGCAGCAGAUCCAACCAUGGCUAGCCAGAAUAGGUUCUUCUUCGUCAAUUGGGCUAGAGAGACGAUCGUGAUUGGUCAAUAUGGUAGCAUACAAAAUAUGUCACAAUGUCAACCGACUGUAGAUUUGAUGGUCCAGUUUCACAGGCAAUUGACAUUUGUAUCAAUUAUCCUGUGUAUACAUUAUGCUAUAUGACCAUGGAAGGUAUGCCUACAAAAUACAGAGCAGUUUG
Molecule: non-coding RNA, 1159 nt
Organism: Triticum urartu
Lineage: Eukaryota; Viridiplantae; Streptophyta; Magnoliopsida; Poales; Poaceae
Source: RefSeq, a predicted model, not a curated record